Molecule: ribosomal RNA, 465 nt
Filed under: Vreelandella stevensii
Lineage: Bacteria; Pseudomonadati; Pseudomonadota; Gammaproteobacteria; Oceanospirillales; Halomonadaceae
Description: partial 16S ribosomal RNA
Rfam family: Bacterial small subunit ribosomal RNA
Source: RNAcentral
CCUACGGGGGGCUGCAGUGGGGAAUAUUGGACAAUGGGCGAAAGCCUGAUCCAGCCAUGCCGCGUGUGUGAAGAAGGCCUUCGGGUUGUAAAGCACUUUCAGUGGGGAAGAAAGCCUUGGGGCUAAUACCCUCGAGGAAGGACAUCACCCACAGAAGAAGCACCGGCUAACUCCGUGCCAGCAGCCGCGGUAAUACGGAGGGUGCGAGCGUUAAUCGGAAUUACUGGGCGUAAAGCGCGCGUAGGCGGUCUGAUAAGCCGGUUGUGAAAGCCCCGGGCUCAACCUGGGAACGGCAUCCGGAACUGUCAGGCUAGAGUGCAGGAGAGGAAGGUAGAAUUCCCGGUGUAGCGGUGAAAUGCGUAGCGAUCGGGAGGAAUACCAGUGGCGAAGGCGGCCUUCUGGACUGACACUGACGCUGAGGUGCGAAAGCGUGGGUAGCAAACAGGAUUAGAUACCCCAGUAGUC